UCAAACUUGGUCAUUUAGAGGAAGUAAAAGUCGUAACAAGGUCUCCGUUGGUGAACCAGCGGAGGGAUCAUUACAGAGUGUUUAUUCUACUCUUUUAACCCUUUGUGAACUUAUUCUGCUCUGUUGCUUCGGCAGGCGGGUGCUGGUUGAUGAGUUUUUGGCUCUUUGGAGCCGCAACUCGGAGGCGCCCCGCUUGGCCUUACUAGGCGCUCUCGAGCGCUUGGUGGGUGCCUGCCGGAGGCCAAUCUAGGCGCUGAUAUUUUACUACUGUAUUAUUUACUUAAUACUGUUUUAUUCAGAAACAAAAAUUUAAAUCAAAUUACAACUUUUAGCAAUGGAUCUCUUGGUUCUGACAUCGAUGAAGAACGCAGC
This 372-nucleotide unclassified non-coding RNA is filed under the name uncultured fungus. RNAcentral's name for it is "partial contains small subunit ribosomal RNA, internal transcribed spacer 1, and 5.8S ribosomal RNA". The stretch from base 1 to 73 matches the Rfam family "Eukaryotic small subunit ribosomal RNA", at positions 1759 to 1831 of the family's 1831-position model. Lineage: Eukaryota; Fungi. The record is from RNAcentral.